RNAcentral lists this long non-coding RNA (891 nucleotides) under Brassica napus (rape). RNAcentral's name for it is "long non-coding RNA (BNAP_LNC022678)". The record is from RNAcentral. Lineage: Eukaryota; Viridiplantae; Streptophyta; Magnoliopsida; Brassicales; Brassicaceae.
CUAAAACAAUCUUUAAUAUAUUUUACAUGCUAAUGAAAAGCUUAACAGGCUACAAUAUUUUAUUGUCGGCUAUUAAUAUAAUUAGUGUAUCCAAUAAUAUUUUUAUCCGUCCACUCCUAAAAUUAGAACGUUAACUUCCCAAAAAUUCUCCUAGCAAUUUUCGUAUAGAAGCUAAUUAAUAUAUUGUCCAAGAACAACAUAUUCUAGCUGGAUAAAUCUUUAAAUGUGUUAAAACUCUCGUUCUCAUCCUCUAUCACCCCGAAUCCAAAACCAAUCUCGUUCUUCUUCUAUUACCGUCGCCACAAACAUAUCACUCGUCCCAUAAUCUGGAAAAGUUUUGCAAACAAAACAACAUCUCUUGGGCAUACCAUUGCGUUGUCGUCCAUAUACUUCACCUUAACUACAUAUUUUAUUUUGACUCCAAAUACACUUCUUCUCUGUUUUUAUUUCAACAGAAAGGGGUAUUAAAAUGUUAAAAGAAGAGAAUUAUAACCGCAGCUACACGGAACGGAGUUGUCCAAGCUCGUUUCUUCACCCGACGCCGUCAUGACUAAGCACACAGAAGGAAACAAAUUUAUUGUAGGUCAGAAGAACAUUCUAACGACAGAGAAAAGAACAUUUAUUUUGUGUCAGGAAUAAUCACCUUGAUUUAUUUCGUCAAGUGUGAGAAGAAUCUCAUCGUUGAGCUCCCUUUUAUACACAAACCUCGAGUACUUGUUCUUGAAACCCUCCCCAAGAAAAACUUUUCGCAUGCAACCCAAUAUCUUUUCUUUUGAUCUUCCUGGCCAUGCAGCCGCUGUGUCAGGUUUUCCUAUGUUUCUACUGGUUCGUGAUGCACAAACAGACACACGUAAAAGAGGUGGGCAAAAGGGCAAUCAUUACUAACCCCCC